This 496-nucleotide ribosomal RNA is filed under the name uncultured bacterium. Its description in RNAcentral is "partial 16S ribosomal RNA". It matches the Rfam family "Bacterial small subunit ribosomal RNA", at positions 28 to 506 of the family's 1533-position model. The record is from RNAcentral.
GAUGAACGCUGGCGGCGUGCCUAAUACAUGCAAGUCGAGCGAACAGACGAGGAGCUUGCUCCUCUGACGUUAGCGGCGGACGGGUGAGUAACACGUGGAUAACCUACCUAUAAGACUGGGAUAACUUCGGGAAACCGGAGCUAAUACCGGAUAAUAUAUUGAACCGCAUGGUUCAAUAGUGAAAGACGGUUUUGCUGUCACUUAUAGAUGGAUCCGCGCCGCAUUAGCUAGUUGGUAAGGUAACGGCUUACCAAGGCAAGGAUGCGUAGCCGACCUGAGAGGGUGAUCGGCCACACUGGAACUGAGACGCGGCCCUGACUCCUACGGGAGGCAGCAGUAGGUACUCUUCCGCAAUGGGCGAAAGCCUGACGGAGCAACGCCGCGUGGGUGAUGAAGGGCUUCGGAUCGUAAAACGCUGUUAUUAGGGAAGAACAAAUGUGUAAGUAACUAUGCACGUCUUGACGGUACCGAAACAGAAGACCACGGCUAACUACUU